GAUGUUCUAACGUUGACCCGUAAUCCGGGUUGCGGACAGUGUCUGGUGGGUAGUUUGACUGGGGCGGUCUCCUCCUAAAGAGUAACGGAGGAGCACGAAGGUUGGCUAAUCCUGGUCGGACAUCAGGAGGUUAGUGCAAUGGCAUAAGCCAGCUUGACUGCGAGCGUGACGGCGCGAGCAGGUGCGAAAGCAGGUCAUAGUGAUCCGGUGGUUCUGAAUGGAAGGGCCAUCGCUCAACGGAUAAAAGGUACUCCGGGGAUAACAGGCUGAUACCGCCCAAGAGUUCAUAUCGACGGCGGUGUUUGGCACCUCGAUGUCGGCUCAUCACAUCCUGGGGCUGAAGUAGGUCCCAAGGGUAUGGCUGUUCGCCAUUUAAAGUGGUACGCGAGCUGGGUUUAGAACGUCGUGAGACAGUUCGGUCCCUAUCUGCCGUGGGCGCUGGAGAACUGAGGGGGGCUGCUCCUAGUACGAGAGGACCGGAGUGGACGCAUCACUGGUGUUCGGGUUGUCAUGCCAAUGGCACUGCCCGGUAGCUAAAUGCGGAAGAGAUAAGUGCUGAAA
RNAcentral lists this ribosomal RNA (561 nucleotides) under Escherichia coli. Its description in RNAcentral is "partial 23S ribosomal RNA". It matches the Rfam family "Bacterial large subunit ribosomal RNA", at positions 2216 to 2776 of the family's 2925-position model. The record is from RNAcentral. Lineage: Bacteria; Pseudomonadati; Pseudomonadota; Gammaproteobacteria; Enterobacterales; Enterobacteriaceae.